GUGGGUCCAUGAGUGCACGUUCCCCACUUCACUCCCCUCUCUUUGAUUCCCCAUCCACCGCCGCCUCCUCUCUCGCCUCACCGCCGGCCUCCUCUAUGCCCCUUCCUCUCCCUCUCGGACGAGGCCUAGCUAUGGCCGCCCGUGCCGCAUCCUGCAUCUGGCGCGGGAGCGUGUGGUGGUGACUAGCCGAGCCGUCCCGCUGGUUGCUCGAGCACGGACCCUUGCGACGGCGUCCGGACGAGGCCGGGCACAAGGCGGAGCUGCGGCCGGCGACCCGGCACCGGCGCUUGCCCGGCGGCGGGACCGUCUUCGCCGUGGCCGGUGGGAGAGUUGGGCGGCAGCAAGCGGUGCGGCGAGGGGAGGCGCAUGGGCGAGAGGGUGGGGCUCUUGCUAGCCGCUCUCCCGUCCCGUUGGUUUCUUGCGGCCACGGUGGCGUUUCUCAGAUCGAGCUGGAUGGCGCGACGGGGGCGUGGCACAGGUCGACUUGGGAGCGCAUCCGGCAUCUCGGUGGCCAUGGUCGUGAUGUGAUCCACCCUGUCUAGAGGGUAAUUUCUGCGUGUGAUUUGGGUAAGGAUCUGGGUGCUGUUCGUUUGCUCACUGUGUUUGUUCCUAGGUCGGCACCGCUGUUGUCACCGGCAGAAUGGCCGACUGGCCAUCGGCAGGCUCGGAGUCCUCUGCGAGCAGGUGAAGGAGCUUAAUUUCCAGGGGUAUGAGGUGAUUCUGGUCGCCUCCCGCGCCGUCGGCGUCGAGGCAGAGGCUCAAGUACGGAAAGCUCAUCAACAGCAGUUUCGCCGAUCUGCAGAACCCAUAGUUCGACCUGGAUGGGAAGGCAUGCGCUGCCGUCGGCCAGAGUGGCCUCAUGGCUAUCUACGAUACACUGAUUAGCCAUGUGGGUUUGCUAACUGUUGUUCUUUCUUUUAUUGUUGUUGUUGAGGUAUGGUCUUUCUUGCUCAUCUCCAAUCAAAUGCUUGUGAGCUGAAAGGUUCUUGUUUGUUUGUUUCCCUUCCUGUUCAAGUUGUUCGUCUUCUGUGUCGUUAGCCAGCAAGGUUAGAUGUGCUCUCAUUGCCACGCUUGAUUGCUUCUUGCAGCAUGUUCUUGUUUGAUUAUGUUUACCCUGGUGAUUUGCUUUCUGUUUGCUGCUUGGGCAAACAUGUGUGUCCCCUGUUUUCGGCAGUACAUCUUCGGAUUAGUGCUGUGGGCGAAAUGUGUGCAGCAAGUAGUAGUUGUAGCUGCUCAUUAUGAAUAUUGUGCCUACAGCCAUGGUUGACACACGUAUUAAGUGGUAGUUACUCCGUACACAUAGAAGGACGGUUUAGUGCGGAGAGGUUUAUGAAGGCCUACUGGAAUUAAUUAUUUCAGAACACUUACCCCUUCUAAAUUAUAUAUUAGCAGGGUUGUGCUUAUAUGUCCCUCUUUAGAUAGUUCUUGGGGAGACGGCAUAUUUAUAUUUGUAAUUUAGGCUACAAAAUGGAUUUUAUUCGUAUGUCUGCUAUAUUUCAGUUGUAUUGUCUUUCCUUCAAUCAAUUGACAAGUUCUUGCUUCUUUUAAUAUUAUUUCUCUUCAAUCAGUUUAUGAAUCCUUAGUUCAUUAGUGUUAUCUCUUUACACAGAAGAUCCUACUUUCAUAACUGAUGUGCUAUUCUCACAUGCAAUUAACUUGAUCUGGUUAGAAAGAACCAAUGGUUGGUGCUUGUUAAUUGCAUUAAUAGUAGUUGUUGUGUUCUGUGGUGAUUAUAUGUGCCACACAUGAAGUAUUGUAUAAAUGUGCCUUUAUUGUUCAAGAAGCAAGAAUUUCUGCCAUUUUUUGUUGUCUUUCAUCUUGGGAUAGCUACAAAUCUGCUGCAUAUGUUUUAAAGAUUAGGCAUCUCGGGAUAGCUACAAAUCUGUUGCAUACGCUUUUAAAAUUAGGCAGAGAAAAUUUUACCAAUUGGUGGCAGGUCCCUUUUUGGUUUGCUACGUUAUUUUGCUGUUUAUUAGGCAACACACUAAUUUCCCUUUGCUUACUAAUGCCAUGAUUCCUUUUAUGUUUCUGGUAAAAACAGUUGGGUAAUUCUUCUGUUGCUUCACGGAUCUUCCUGCAUGUUGUGUCUGUAUUACUGCCACUGAAGAUAUACCUCAACUGAAGAUCUAGCUUGUGACGAUGAUAUACCUAAGGUUAGUGUUAUUAUUACAUAUGGGGAGAGGUUUAUGAAAGCCUACUGAAACUGAUUAUUUGGUUACACUCACCACUUCCUUUGGACAGAAGUUGUUGUCUGGACGUACUGACCAUUGUGUUAUGCAGUGUUGGUCUAUACUUUAAUGCACCUGUGUUCACGCAUGGCCAGCUUUAUGUAGCAGUGUCGCGUGUGACAUCAAAAAAGGCUUUGAAAAUCCUGAUUGAACAUGAAGAUGGUACUACUGAUUCUCAGACCAGGAACAUUGUGUUUCCUGAGCACUUCCACUCCAUUUCUUAUAAUCCAUGCUGGUGGUGUCUUUUACAAUACAUGCAUUAUUCCAUUUACCCUGUUCGCUAUGGCCGGCCAGUCUGUUCUAGCUGAUUCAUGUGGUCGUCCGAUAUGUGUGGUGCCAACUGCCAUUUCUUUGCUAGCUGAUGUCAAUAGUCUUUUGGUUCAUACAGCUUAGUGCCUCAUAUAUGAAUGCUCUUUUUGGGUUCUUCAAUUUCUCUUCCCCCUAUCUUUUGCUGACUACACUGACUAUACGCCUGUUCUACCCUGAUGCUCUUUCUUCAUGCUGGUCCUAUGUCACGGGUGUUAAUAUCUACUACCUAUUUACUGCUUGUUGUGCAAAAUCUUUAGGUUAUUGUAAAUCAUUCCCUGCUGUAUAAAGUUUGGUUUUAGUCUGUUGCAUUUUGUUGGUUCCUAUCUUGCCAAUGUCUACAGCAAUAUGCUUUCUUGAUAGCCUAUUUUGCUUCACAUUUUUUGGGUAUGCCACUUCUCUAAUGAGUGGGUGCAUCUCUUCUUUGUUUUAUCAUUCUAUAUUUUUUCCUAACCUUUUUGGUAUUCUGCUUUCUCCUUGCAGAUGGCAAGCACCAUUUUGUUGGUUCCUGCCUUGCCAAUGUCUACAGCGAUGUGUGCGUCCUUUGUCUCAUCUGUGGCAUUACCGUGGGGCGUGGGGUGACUCAUAAUGGGCCUAUCAAGCAUACUGACCUUGUAAUGAUAGAUAAAGAGGUUGAUGUCAGUGCCAUUCAGAUAAAUAUAUUUUUAGCCCUGUGAAUUGAAAAAUGAGUGCUUCUUGGUUGUUGCUGUUGUUGGUCCAGAAGAUUCUUGGUGCUUCUUGGUGCUUUUACUACA
Long non-coding RNA from Triticum urartu, 3289 nucleotides. RefSeq lists it as uncharacterized. Lineage: Eukaryota; Viridiplantae; Streptophyta; Magnoliopsida; Poales; Poaceae. The record is from RefSeq and is a predicted model, not a curated record.